AAUCCCCUGCAGUGUUCGUCGAAGCCGUAGAUUCCUUGAACCAAUGUCGAGAGACUUGGUCGCGGACCGUAGUGCCGGCGGUGUGCAUGCCCCGAUAGGGGAAGCCUGAAGCGGUGGGAAUGCGACCACCCUGAACCCUAGGUUCAGGAUGCCCGGCAGAGACGGCACAGGCGGGGGGCCA
This 181-nucleotide non-coding RNA is filed under the name Pseudothauera rhizosphaerae. Its description in RNAcentral is "6S / SsrS RNA". It matches the Rfam family "6S / SsrS RNA". Rfam says of the family: E. coli 6S RNA was the first non coding RNA to be sequenced, but its function was unknown until recently. It consists of 184 nucleotides that fold into an extended hairpin structure with a large single-stranded internal bulge. The record is from Rfam by way of RNAcentral. Lineage: Bacteria; Pseudomonadati; Pseudomonadota; Betaproteobacteria; Rhodocyclales; Zoogloeaceae.